CAGUGAACGUCGACGUCUGAUAAACAAGUUAAUAAACUAAAACUUUCAACAACGGAUCUCUUGGUUCUGGCAUCGAUGAAGAACGCAGCGAAAUGCGAUAAGUAAUGUGAAUUGCAGAAUUCAGUGAAUCAUCGAAUCUUUGAACGCACAUUGCGCCC
RNAcentral lists this ribosomal RNA (158 nucleotides) under Diplodia sp. 2 JA-2014. Its description in RNAcentral is "5.8S ribosomal RNA". The stretch from base 41 to 158 matches the Rfam family "5.8S ribosomal RNA", at positions 1 to 118 of the family's 154-position model. Rfam says of the family: 5.8S ribosomal RNA (5.8S rRNA) is a component of the large subunit of the eukaryotic ribosome. It is transcribed by RNA polymerase I as part of the 45S precursor that also contains 18S and 28S rRNA. Functionally, it is thought that 5.8S rRNA may be involved in ribosome translocation. The record is from RNAcentral. Lineage: Eukaryota; Fungi; Ascomycota; Dothideomycetes; Botryosphaeriales; Botryosphaeriaceae.